AGUGAACGCUGGCGGCGUGCUUAACACAUGCAAGUCGAACGAGAACGGGUUAUAGCUUGCUAUAAUUGUCAGCUAAGUGGCGCACGGGUGAGUAAUGUAUAGGUAAUAUGCCUCUUACUAAGGGAUAACAAAUGGAAACGUUUGCUAAUACCUUAUACUCCUUAUUAACAGAAGUUAAUAAGGGAAAGAUUUAUUGGUAAGAGAUUAGCCUGUAUUGUAUCAGUUAGUUGGUGGGGUAAUGGCUUACCAAGACUAUGACUCAUAACUGGUUUGAGAGGAUGAUCAGUCACACUGGAACUGAGACACGGUCCAGACUCCUACGGGAGGCAGCAGUGGGGAAUAUUGCACAAUGGACGAAAGUCUGAUGCAGCAACGCCGCGUGGAGGAUGACACAUUUCGGUGCGUAAACUCCUUUUAUAUGAGAAGAUAAUGACGGUAUUAUAUGAGCAAGUCCCGGCUAACUACGUGCCAGCCGCCGCCGUAA
RNAcentral lists this ribosomal RNA (484 nucleotides) under uncultured bacterium. Its description in RNAcentral is "partial 16S ribosomal RNA". It matches the Rfam family "Bacterial small subunit ribosomal RNA", at positions 29 to 523 of the family's 1533-position model. The record is from RNAcentral.